This 150-nucleotide non-coding RNA is filed under the name Chlorocebus sabaeus (green monkey). The record is from Rfam by way of RNAcentral. Lineage: Eukaryota; Metazoa; Chordata; Mammalia; Primates; Cercopithecidae.
GCUGGGCGCGGUGGCUCACGCCUGUAAUCCCAGCUACUCCUUGGGAGCUGAGACAGGAGAAUUGCUUGAACCCGGGAGGCGGAGGCUGCAGUGAGCUGAGAUUGUGCCACUGCACUCCAGCCUGGGUGACAGAGUGAGACUCUGUCUCAA